GGUGAACGCUGGCGGCGCGCCUAAGACAUGCAAGUCGAGCGGGCCGCGGGGUUUUACUCCGUGGUCAGCGGCGGACGGGUGAGUAACGCGUGGGUGACCUACCCGGAAGAGGGGGACAACCCGGGGAAACUCGGGCUAAUCCCCCAUGUGGACCCGCCCCUUGGGGUGUGUCCAAAGGGCUUUGCCCGCUUCCGGAUGGGCCCGCGUCCCAUCAGCUAGUUGGUGGGGUAAUGGCCCACCAAGGCGACGACGGGUAGCCGGCCUGAGAGGGUGGCCGGCCACAGGGGCACUGAGACACGGGCCCCACCCCUACGGGAGGCAGCAGUUAGGAAUCUUCCGCAAUGGGCGCAAGCCUGACGGAGCGACGCCGCUGGGAGGAAGAAGCCCUUCGGGGUGUAAACUCCUGAACCCGGGACGAAACCCCCGACGAGGGGACUGACGGUACCGGGGUAAUAGCGCCGGCCAACUCCGUG
This 473-nucleotide ribosomal RNA is filed under the name uncultured bacterium. RNAcentral's name for it is "partial 16S ribosomal RNA". It matches the Rfam family "Bacterial small subunit ribosomal RNA", at positions 28 to 507 of the family's 1533-position model. The record is from RNAcentral.